GUCUACGGCCAUGCCACCCUGAACAAGCCUGAUCCCGUCUGAUCUCAGAAGCUAAGCAGGGUCAGCCCUGGGUUAGUACUUGGAUGGGAGACCAUCUAGGAAGACCAGGUGCCGUAGGCA
This 120-nucleotide ribosomal RNA is filed under the name Pteropus alecto (black flying fox). Lineage: Eukaryota; Metazoa; Chordata; Mammalia; Chiroptera; Pteropodidae. The record is from RNAcentral.